RNAcentral lists this ribosomal RNA (506 nucleotides) under uncultured bacterium. Its description in RNAcentral is "partial 16S ribosomal RNA". It matches the Rfam family "Bacterial small subunit ribosomal RNA", at positions 28 to 523 of the family's 1533-position model. The record is from RNAcentral.
GAUGAACGCUAGCUACAGGCUUAACACAUGCAAGUCGAGGGGUAACGAGAGGAAAGCUUGCUUUCCUUGUCGACGACCGGCGCACGGGUGAGUAACGCGUAUCCAACCUGCCCCCAACUAAGGAAUAACCUUGCGAAAGUAAGACUAAUACCUUAUAAUUUCCUCAGAUGUCAUCUGACGAGGAAUAAAGAUUUAUCGGUUGUGGAUGGGGAUGCGUCUGAUUAGCUUGUUGGCGGGGGAACGGCCCACCAAGGCAACGAUCAGUAGGGGUUCGGAGAGGAAGGUCCCCCACAUUGGAACUGAGACAACGUCCAAACUCCUACGGGAGGCAGCAGUGAGGAAUAUUGGUCAAUGGGCGUAAGCUUGAACCAGCCAAGUAGCGUGCAGGAUGACGGCCCUAUGGGUUGUAAACUGCUUUUAUACAGGAAUAAAGUUAGCCACGUGUGGUUAUUUGUAGGUACUGUAUGAAUAAGGACCGGCUAAUUCCGUGCCAGCCGCCGCAGUAA